UCAAAUUUGAAAUCUGGCGUCUUUCAGGCGUCCGAGUUGUAAUCUAUAGAGGCGUUUUCCGCGCCGGACCGCGUCCAAGUCUCUUGGAAUAGAGUAUCAAAGAGGGUGACAAUCCCGUACUUGACGCGACAACCGGUGCUCUGUGAUACGUUCUCAAUGAGUCGAGUUGUUUGGGAAUGCAGCUCUAAAUGGGUGGUAAAUUCCAUCUAAGGCUAAAUAUUGGCGAGAGACCGAUAGCGAACAAGUACCGUGAGGGAAAGAUGAAAAGCACUUUGGAAAGAGAGUUAAACAGCACGUGAAAUUGUUAAAAGGGAAACGAUUGAAGUCAGUCGUGUGGGAAGUAUUCAGCCGUCUCUGGCGGUGUAUUUGCUUCUCACGGGUCAACAUCAGUUUGAUCCGGUAGAAAAAGGCGGGAAGAAGGUGGCACCCUCGGGUGUGUUAUAGCUUCCUGUCAUAUGUGCCGGACCAGACUGAGGAACGCAGCUUGCAGCAAUGCCGGGGUUCGCCCACGUACAAGCUUAGGAUGUUGACAUAAUGGCUUUAAACGACCCGUCUUG
Molecule: ribosomal RNA, 557 nt
Filed under: Vishniacozyma carnescens
Lineage: Eukaryota; Fungi; Basidiomycota; Tremellomycetes; Tremellales; Bulleribasidiaceae
Description: partial large subunit ribosomal RNA
Rfam family: Eukaryotic large subunit ribosomal RNA
Source: RNAcentral